CCUACGGGUGGCUGCAGUGGGGAAUAUUGGACAAUGGGCGCAAGCCUGAUCCAGCAAUGCCGCGUGUGUGAAGAAGGCCUGCGGGUUGUAAAGCACUUUCAGUGGGGAGGAAGGCCUCGAUAUUAAUACUAUUGAGGAUUGACGUUACCCACAGAAGAAGCACCGGCUAACUCUGUGCCAGCAGCCGCGGUAAUACAGAGGGUGCUUGCGUUACUCGGAAUUAGUGGGCGUAGUGGCUUAAGUGGGAGUUGAAAGCCCCGGGCUCAACCUGGGAAUUGCAUUUGAUACUGAGUAACUUGAGUAUGGUAGAGGGAAGUGGAAUUUCCAGUGUAGCGGUGAAAUGCGUAGAUAUUGGAAGGAACAUCAGUGGCGAAGGCGACUUCCUGGACCAUUACUGACACUGAGGCACGAAAGCGUGGGGAGCGAACAGGAUUAGAUACCCGAGUAGUC
RNAcentral lists this ribosomal RNA (450 nucleotides) under uncultured bacterium. RNAcentral describes it as "partial 16S ribosomal RNA". It matches the Rfam family "Bacterial small subunit ribosomal RNA", at positions 338 to 795 of the family's 1533-position model. The record is from RNAcentral.